UACGUAGGGUCCGAGCGUUGUCCGGAAUUAUUGGGCGUAAAGAGCUCGUAGGCGGCCUGUCGCGUCUGCUGUGAAAGUCCGGGGCUUAACUCCGGGUGUGCAGUGGAUACGGGCAGGCUUGAGGUAGGUAGGGGAGAUUGGAAUUCCUGGUGUAGCGGUGAAAUGCGCAGAUAUCAGGAGGAACACCGGUGGCGAAGGCGGGUCUCUGGGCCUUACCUGACGCUGAGGAGCGAAAGCGUGGGGAGCGAACAGG
RNAcentral lists this ribosomal RNA (253 nucleotides) under uncultured bacterium. RNAcentral describes it as "partial 16S ribosomal RNA". It matches the Rfam family "Bacterial small subunit ribosomal RNA", at positions 524 to 776 of the family's 1533-position model. The record is from RNAcentral.